This 262-nucleotide unclassified non-coding RNA is filed under the name Hevea brasiliensis (rubber tree). The record is from RNAcentral. Lineage: Eukaryota; Viridiplantae; Streptophyta; Magnoliopsida; Malpighiales; Euphorbiaceae.
UUCAAAUCUUGUAGAGGUAGUAAAAGAAUCUUAUUUUAUUUAUUUAUUUUUGACUAAAAUAAGGUAUGCAUAUUUUUUAUUAGGUCUCAUUUGGUGUGUGAUGUAUCAAAUGUUACAAUUAGUCAACUCAAUUCAAAACCAACUUUUCCAAGUAGAUGAUGAAGCUGCUCAAUAUGUUGGAUUUUUAUCAUCUUUUCUUUUUUGAGUUAACUUAGUAGCCAAACGUGGCCUUGAAGAGGUUCUUUGUCCACUUUUGAUCUGG